Molecule: non-coding RNA, 313 nt
Filed under: Gloeochaete wittrockiana
Lineage: Eukaryota; Glaucocystophyceae; Gloeochaetales; Gloeochaetaceae
Source: RNAcentral
GGAAAGUCCGGACUUCAAUAAAGUAAAAAUGGAUGGUUAAUAACCGUUUUGAAAAACCAUGAGGAAAGUGCUGCAGAAAUUUUGAUAAUUAUUUUAUUAUCAAUGUAAUGAUUACAAAAAUCAUCAAAAUUUGUAAUAAAAUUGUUUUUAAUAUAAGCAAACCCCAUUAUGAAGCAAGGUUUUUAUAGGAAAAAAUAUACUUUUUCAUUUCCUAAAAUUAAAAAUAAAACCGCUAAAAAAAUUUAGUAAUAAAUUUUUUAGAUAGAUAAUCACAAUUUAGAUAUUUAAAUCUAAAUAACAAAAUCCGGCUUAA